CACCUUCACGUAGAUUCUGCUCAGACCCGACCCCGUCACUCCACUAGCAGGUCUUUCACUGGAUCCCCAAAGGCUGCAGUCCAGUGCUCGAUGUCUUCCCUUGUGCUCUGCAACCUUAACAUCUCAAAAACGAAGCCUCCAUCGAGAAAUGGGAUAACAUCUUUAAGCGGGUGAAGAGGACUUCACCUAUGAUGGUGGUGGGUUUCGAAUCAGGCGUAGAAGCCAUUCGGGGAAAUGUUCCUUUCUGAGCAUCAUGCCUAACUUUGAAACGUGCCUUCAAUGAAACCCAUGCCAGGCACAUGAAAUGGAAAAGUAUUCGGCACCUUGGUUUUGAUUUUUGGUGAGACGAGGGAGAGGAAGGAUUGUCAGACAUGGAAGGGGCCCGAGGUUUCCCAUCUGUUGUUUAAAUCGUUACAUUGUGGAAUUAUAGGAGACUCUAAGCUUGUUUUUCUAAGUUUCCACCCUUUGUUAGAAGCGGUUCAAUCCUGUUUCGGACCAGUUCUGGGGGGUGGCGAGGAGGGGCGCUUGUGCAGCUCUCAGCAGAUUGGCUGCACGCGUCAGGUGGUGGCGAUGACUUAAUUCCCAGACCGAGAAGAAUAUAGUGUUAAAACUGGUUAUGUAAUUUUGUACUUCUCCUUUUUAAUGCGAUGUUUAGUUCCAAUGCGGGCUAUUUUCGAAAAGUAGAGCACAUUUUUUACCUUCAUUUUCAGUAUUAAAUAAUGCACAUGCCCGAGGAAGUGCUAGCUGAACUAAAGCAAGUGUAGAAAUAAAGGAUGCUUCCAGCCACAGCAUUCAUGCGCUGUUCUUAAAAAUAUUAAGAUGAAGUCAGUUCUUGAGGUAGGUUUUCAGUUGCACAGAGGGAAUUUGCAUCCUGACAUUAUUUCUAGUUCAUCUCUCCAAGCAGUAACGCUGAUGAGAAGCGCUAAUGCCUAGUGACAGUCGUCGUAUUUGUUGGAAAGCAUAGACAGGAGUUUGUUUGAACCUUUCUGGAUAUUGCAGCUUUUUAUACAAUGGUGGGAAGAGACAAAGGUUUUCAUAGAGUUGAGACUGUAGAGUAACGACUUGGGGACAAACACAAUUUACUAGCUGCUCCACGAUUUCGUGGUAAAAUAAACUGCGCCUUUUAACCCCACGAAGCACCCCUGAGCCUCUGCAAAGUGCAGACGAGCUCUGCGCCUGGAA
Myotis brandtii (Brandt's bat) is the source of this 1182-nucleotide long non-coding RNA. RefSeq lists it as uncharacterized. NCBI's taxonomy places the organism in Eukaryota, Metazoa, Chordata, Mammalia, Chiroptera, Vespertilionidae. The record is from RefSeq and is a predicted model, not a curated record. The transcript is spliced from 2 exons.